GUAGGUGGCAAGCGUUGUCCGGAAUUAUUGGGGCGUAAAGCGCGCGCAGGCGGUUCUUUAAGUCUGAUGUGAAAGCCCAUGGGCUCAACCGUGGAGGGUCAUUGGAAACUGGAGAACUUGAGUACAGAAGAGGAAAGCGGAAUUCCACGUGUAGCGGUGAAAUGCGUAGAGAUGUGGAGGAACACCAGUGGCGAAGGCGGCUUUCUGGUCUGUAACUGACGCUGAGGCGCGAAAGCGUGGGGAGCAAACAGGAUUAGAUACCCUGGUAGUCCACGCCGUAAACGAUGAGUGCUAAGUGUUAGGGGGUUUCCGCCCCUUAGUGCUGCAGCUAACGCAUUAAGCACUCCGCCUGGGGAGUACGGCCGCAAAGGCUG
This 374-nucleotide ribosomal RNA is filed under the name uncultured organism. RNAcentral's name for it is "partial 16S ribosomal RNA". It matches the Rfam family "Bacterial small subunit ribosomal RNA", at positions 527 to 896 of the family's 1533-position model. The record is from RNAcentral.